This 410-nucleotide long non-coding RNA is filed under the name Ananas comosus (pineapple). Its description in RNAcentral is "long non-coding RNA (ACOM_LNC029816)". The record is from RNAcentral. Lineage: Eukaryota; Viridiplantae; Streptophyta; Magnoliopsida; Poales; Bromeliaceae.
UCAGUUUAUUUUAAAAUAAACUUCAAAUGCCACACCUGUAGUUUCACACUUUUUCGGUUUAUUAUUUUUACAUUAUGUGGUUUUAUUUUUCUCUUUUCGGCAGCACAUCCGUUAACUUUUUGUUAAAUCAUAUACAAAAAAUUUCAGAUACUUCGCCUAUAACUUACCGAAUAUUCACUUUAGUACCCUGUGGUUAACGAAUUUUUACUUUAGUAUCAUGUGGUUUUAACUUUAUCACUGAUAUAACGAAAAAAUUAACGGAGAGGACAAUAGAAAGAGAAAGGCGAAACCACAUGACACUAAUUAAAGUGAUACAUAUUUUAAACCACAUGAUACUAAUUAAAGUGAGAAAGCGCGAAACUAUAGGGAUAGUAUUUGAAGUUUUUUCUUUAUUUUAUUCAGCAUAAUGC